This 465-nucleotide ribosomal RNA is filed under the name Vreelandella stevensii. Its description in RNAcentral is "partial 16S ribosomal RNA". It matches the Rfam family "Bacterial small subunit ribosomal RNA", at positions 338 to 795 of the family's 1533-position model. The record is from RNAcentral. Lineage: Bacteria; Pseudomonadati; Pseudomonadota; Gammaproteobacteria; Oceanospirillales; Halomonadaceae.
CCUACGGGUGGCUGCAGUGGGGAAUAUUGGACAAUGGGCGAAAGCCUGAUCCAGCCAUGCCGCGUGUGUGAAGAAGGCCUUCGGGUUGUAAAGCACUUUCAGUGGGGAAGAAAGCCUUGGGGCUAAUACCCUCGAGGAAGGACAUCACCCACAGAAGAAGCACCGGCUAACUCCGUGCCAGCAGCCGCGGUAAUACGGAGGGUGCGAGCGUUAAUCGGAAUUACUGGGCGUAAAGCGCGCGUAGGCGGUCUGAUAAGCCGGUUGUGAAAGCCCCGGGCUCAACCUGGGAACGGCAUCCGGAACUGUCAGGCUAGAGUGCAGGAGAGGUAGGUAGAAUUCCCGGUGUAGCGGUGAAAUGCGUAGAGAUCGGGAGGAAUACCAGUGGCGAAGGCGGUCUUCUGGACUGACACUGACGCUGAGGUGCGAAAGCGUGGGUAGCAAACAGGAUUAGAUACCCUAGUAGUC